Molecule: ribosomal RNA, 212 nt
Filed under: uncultured Staphylococcus sp.
Lineage: Bacteria; Bacillati; Bacillota; Bacilli; Caryophanales; Staphylococcaceae
Description: partial 16S ribosomal RNA
Rfam family: Bacterial small subunit ribosomal RNA
Source: RNAcentral
CGGGAAACCGGAGCUAAUACCGGAUAAGAUAUCGAACCGCAUGGUUCGAUAGUGAAAGAUGGUUUUGCUAUCACUUAUAGAUGGACCCGCGCCGUAUUAGCUAGUUGGUGAGGUAACGGCUCACCAAGGCAACGAUACGUAGCCGACCUGAGAGGGUGAUCGGCCACACUGGAACUGAGACACGGUCCAGACUCCUACGGGAGGCAGCAGCC